GAGACAGUUCGGUCCCUAUCCUUCGUGGGCGCAGGAAAUUUGAGGAGCUCUGCAUUUAGUACGAGAGGACCGGUGUGGACGAACCUCUGGUGUACCGGUUGUGAUGCCAAUUGCAUUGCCGGGUAGCCACGUUCGGAGAGGAUAACCGCUGAAAGCAUCUAAGCGGGAAGCCAGCUCCAAGAUGAGAUUUCCCAACAGACAGGUUGGAGACUACAACCUUGAUAGGUCACAGGUGUAAGCGCGGUGACGCGUUCAGCCGAGUGAUACUAAUAAGUCGAUUGGCUUUCGCCA
Molecule: ribosomal RNA, 291 nt
Filed under: Candidatus Cloacimonadota bacterium
Lineage: Bacteria; Pseudomonadati; Candidatus Cloacimonadota
Also listed under: 1 other name
Description: partial 23S ribosomal RNA
Rfam family: Bacterial large subunit ribosomal RNA
Source: RNAcentral